Molecule: ribosomal RNA, 776 nt
Filed under: uncultured bacterium
Lineage: Bacteria
Description: bacterial SSU rRNA
Rfam family: Bacterial small subunit ribosomal RNA
Source: RNAcentral
AACAGGAUUAGAUACCCUGGUAGUCCACGCCGUAAACGAUGUCGACUUGGAGGUUGUGCCCUUGAGGCGUGGCUUCCGGAGCUAACGCGUUAAGUCGACCGCCUGGGGAGUACGGCCGCAAGGUUAAAACUCAAAUGAAUUGACGGGGGCCCGCACAAGCGGUGGAGCAUGUGGUUUAAUUCGAUGCAACGCGAAGAACCUUACCUGGUCUUGACAUCCACGGAAGUUUUCAGAGAUGAGAAUGUGCCUUCGGGAACCGUGAGACAGGUGCUGCAUGGCUGUCGUCAGCUCGUGUUGUGAAAUGUUGGGUUAAGUCCCGCAACGAGCGCAACCCUUAUCCUUUGUUGCCAGCGGUCCGGCCGGGAACUCAAAGGAGACUGCCAGUGAUAAACUGGAGGAAGGUGGGGAUGACGUCAAGUCAGCAUGGCCCUCAUGGGCUGGGCCACACACGUGCUACAAUGGCAAUUACAAUGGGGAGCAAGGCAGUAAGGCUGAGCGAAUCCAGAAAGAUUGCCUCAGUUCGGAUUGUUCUCUGCAACUCGGGAACAUGAAGUUGGAAUCGCUAGUAAUCGCAGAUCAGCAUGCUGCGGUGAAUAUGUACCCGGGCCCUGUACACACCGCCCGUCACACCCUGGGAACAGGUUUAGCCCGAAGCAUCGGACCAAUGAUAACCCAUGACUUCUGUGUACCACUUGUGCCACAAAGUAAUUUGGUAGUCUUAUUGGCGCAUACCACGGUUAGGUCUUUUACUGGGGUGAAGUCGUAACAAGGUAACC